This 685-nucleotide ribosomal RNA is filed under the name uncultured bacterium. Its description in RNAcentral is "bacterial SSU rRNA". It matches the Rfam family "Bacterial small subunit ribosomal RNA", at positions 8 to 711 of the family's 1533-position model. The record is from RNAcentral.
AGGGUUUGAUCAUGGCUCAGGACGAACGCUGGCGGCAUGCCUAACACAUGCAAGUCGAACGAGAAAGUUCCUUCGGGAGCAAUUAAAGUGGCGCACGGGUGAGUAACGCGUAGACAAUCUGCCCUUCAGUCUGGGACAACUUUUCGAAAGGAGAGCUAAUACCGGAUAACAAUGCAUGACACAAGUUGUAUAUUUGAAAGCUUUAUGUGCUGAAGGAGGGGUCUGCGUCCCAUUAGCUAGUUGGUAAGGUAAAGGCUUACCAAGGCAACGAUGGGUAGCGGGUUUGAGAGGACGAUCCGCCACACUGGAACUGAGACACGGUCCAGACUCCUACGGGAGGCAGCAGUGGGGAAUAUUGCACAAUGGAGGAAACUCUGAUGCAGCAAUGUCGCGUGAGUGAAGAAGGCCCUUGGGUCGUAAAGCUCUUUUAUGGGGGAAGAUGAUGACGGUACCCCAAGAAUAAGCACCGGCUAACUAUGUGCCAGCAGCCGCGGUAAUACAUAGGGUGCGAGCGUUGUUCGGAAUUACUGGGCGUAAAGGGCGCGCAGGCGGAAUAGUAAGUCGGAGGUGAAAGCCCGGGGCUCAACCCCGGAGGGUCUUUCGAAACUACUAAUCUAGAGAGGGUCAGGGGCCGGCAGAAUUCCUGGUGUAGAGGUGAAAUUCGUAGAUAUCAGGAGGAAUACCG